Long non-coding RNA from Triticum dicoccoides, 833 nucleotides. RefSeq lists it as uncharacterized. The record is from RefSeq and is a predicted model, not a curated record. The transcript is spliced from 5 exons. NCBI's taxonomy places the organism in Eukaryota, Viridiplantae, Streptophyta, Magnoliopsida, Poales, Poaceae.
CGUUUUCGCUCGGAUGGCACCACUACCACAUUGCAAGGAGCAGACAUGCAUAAUCCAGUGGACAAGUGCUUUGAGUGGUUGAGUGUAAAGCACUGUGUGGUACAAGUGUUGUGGGCUCUGGAUUGGCUUCGAGAACUUGAUGGUAAAACAUUCUGGUCAAGGUGAAGCUGCAUCGGAGACUGUCGAAUUUUGCUUACGGUAUAUGGAUGCGGAAACCAGAAACUUGUUUGUGAUAACUUAGCUUUAUAUCUGACCAAGUGUCAGGUGUUCCCUAGAGCUCUGGAAGAUUUUGACUUGGCACUACAUGAAUCACCAAGCAAUGGGUCAGCAUCUAUUGAAGCCAUGAGGAGCAAAAUCAUUGACAUCAUUGAAGCUUUGGACAAUAUCUUGCAAAUUGUGCCAUUAAAGCUGAUGCCGAAAGGAAGGAUGCUCGGAGAUGCCAGGGACCAAAAAAGAGGAAAAACAAUAUAUGAAACUUGUGAGAAACUGAGCUGUGAAGGAGCUGUGGUCUUGGGUUGUCGCUGGUUCCUGUCUCUCAUUUGCUGGUUACUCAUAUCGAUAGUGUUCUUAUGUAACCUCCCGUGGGAAAUCUUCAUUGGAGUUGUUAUCUUAAUCCCAUCAUACUUAUAUGGGAUCUUUGUAGUUUGUAGAUAACGGUGCAUGAUCCGAUCAGUACCCUCGGUAGGGUUGCUAAUGUGGCUGGAAGUCUCAGAUCGGGGAUCACACAAGGGUUUUACCUAGGUUAGGAGUAAUACCCUAUGUCCUGCUUGUUACUAUUAUUUAUGGUGGGUGUACCUUGUGUGAGGGAUUGCAAUGAAGAUUAUGGUAUGCUA